CCUACGGGGGGCAGCAGUCGAGAAUCAUUCACAAUGGGGGAAACCCUGAUGGUGCGACGCCGCGUGGGGGAAUGAAGGUCUUCGGAUUGUAAACCCCUGUCACGUGGGAGCAAAUUAAAAAGAUAGUACCACAAGAGGAAGAGACGGCUAACUCUGUGCCAGCAGCCGCGGUAAUACAGAGGUCUCAAGCGUUGUUCGGAAUCACUGGGCGUAAGGCGUGCGUAGGCUGUUUCGUAAGUCGUGUGUGAAAGGCGCGGGCUCAACCCGCGGACGGCACAUGAUACUGCGAGACUAGAGUAAUGGAGGGGGAACCGGGAUUCUCGGUGUAGCAGUGAAAUGCGUAGAUAUCGAGAGGAACACUCGUGGCGAAGGCGGGUUCCUGGACAUUAACUGACGCUGAGGCACGAAGGCCAGGGGAGCGAAAGGGAUUAGAUACCCGGGUAGUC
Molecule: ribosomal RNA, 446 nt
Filed under: uncultured bacterium
Lineage: Bacteria
Description: partial 16S ribosomal RNA
Rfam family: Bacterial small subunit ribosomal RNA
Source: RNAcentral